GGACUACCGGGGUUUCUAAUCCCGUUCGCUCCCCAUGCUUUCGUGGCUGAGCGUCAGGUACGAGCCAGGGGGCCGCCUUCGCCUCUGGGGUUCCUCCGGAUCUCUACGCAUUUCACCACUACACCCGGAAUUCCACCCCCCUCUCUCGUCCUCUAGAAAUGCAGUCUGGCAUAACCCCUCCAGGUUAAGCCCGGAGAUUUCAUACACCACUUGCAUUCCCGCCUGCACACCCUUUACGCCCAGUAAAUCCGGAUAACGCUUGCCACCUACGUUUUACCGCGGCUGCUGGCAC
This 292-nucleotide ribosomal RNA is filed under the name uncultured bacterium. RNAcentral describes it as "partial 16S ribosomal RNA". The record is from RNAcentral.